RNAcentral lists this small RNA (169 nucleotides) under Pongo abelii (Sumatran orangutan). RNAcentral's name for it is "processed transcript". Lineage: Eukaryota; Metazoa; Chordata; Mammalia; Primates; Hominidae. The record is from RNAcentral.
GAGUCUAUAAAGCAUCAACUCAAAGUGACAAGAAGUGGACACAUAUUCUAAGGGAGCUCCCCAAGACAAAAGGAAGAUGGAGGAAAUGGUCUCUGAAGGGAAGUGGGGAAAGUAAGAAGUAAUUUGGACUCUUCUAGAGGAGAGCAGGCACAAACUAAGCCAAGAAAAG